GGUGGGGUGGCAGAGCGGUCAUGCGUUCGCCUGCAGAGCGAAUUUAAAGGGGUUCGACUCCCCUCCCCACCU
RNAcentral lists this transfer RNA (72 nucleotides) under Nitrososphaera sp. Its description in RNAcentral is "tRNA-Cys". It matches the Rfam family "tRNA". Rfam says of the family: Transfer RNA (tRNA) molecules are approximately 80 nucleotides in length. Their secondary structure includes four short double-helical elements and three loops (D, anti-codon, and T loops). Further hydrogen bonds mediate the characteristic L-shaped molecular structure. tRNAs have two regions of fundamental functional importance: the anti-codon, which is responsible for specific mRNA codon recognition, and the 3' end, to which the tRNAs corresponding amino acid is attached (by aminoacyl-tRNA synthetases). tRNAs cope with the degeneracy of the genetic code in two manners: having more than one tRNA (with a specific anti-codon) for a particular amino acid; and 'wobble' base-pairing, i.e. permitting non-standard base-pairing at the 3rd anti-codon position. The record is from RNAcentral. Lineage: Archaea; Thermoproteati; Nitrososphaerota; Nitrososphaeria; Nitrososphaerales; Nitrososphaeraceae.